GGUAUCGCCGUUAGUCAUGUGCAAAUAUGGAUAGCUGUUUUAGCCGUCUUUAUUGACUGGUUUAUAAGAGUUAUCAGAUAUCACUUUGAUUAAAUUAGAGUGCUUAAAGCAAGUGUGUUACUUGGAUAUAAAUGCAUGGAAUGGUGGAAUAUGUUGUUAUUCUAUUUGUUGGUUUUUGAAUGAUAAAAUGAUUGAAAGGAACUGUUGGGGGCAUUCGUAUUGUUGUGAGAGAGGUGAAAUUCUUAGACCACAGCAAGACGAACUACUGCGAAAGCAUUUGCCAAGAAUGUUUUCAUUGAUCAAGAACGAAAGUUAGAGGUUCGAAGGCGAUCAGAUACCGCCCUAGUUCUAACCAUAAACUAUGCCAACUAGCAAUUUGCUUUGUAUUUUUUAUGACUAAGUGAGAGGCCACGGGAAACCUAAGUAGGGUUAUGGGGGAAGUAUGGUUGCAAAGCUGAAACUUAAAGGAAUUGACGGAAGGGCACCACCAGGAGUGGAGCCUGCGGCUUAAUUUGACUCAACACGGGAAAACUUACCUGGUCCUGACACUAGAAGGAUUGACAGAUUGAUAGCUCUUUCUUGAUUUGGUGGAUGGUGGUGCAUGGCCGUUCUUAGUUGGUGGAGUGAUUUGUCUGGUUAAUUCCGAUAACGAACGAGACUCUAGCCUAUUAAAUAAUACACGGAAUUUUAUCUUCCGCGGUAUUUCUUAGUGGGAUCAAGCG
RNAcentral lists this ribosomal RNA (722 nucleotides) under uncultured eukaryote. RNAcentral's name for it is "SSU rRNA". It matches the Rfam family "Eukaryotic small subunit ribosomal RNA", at positions 672 to 1426 of the family's 1831-position model. The record is from RNAcentral.